GAUGAACGCUAGCGACAGGCUUAACACAUGCAAGUCGAGGGGUAACAGGGUGUAGCAAUACACCGCUGACGACCGGCGCACGGGUGAGUAACGCGUAUGCAACCUGCCUUUGACAGAGGGAUAGCCCAUGGAAACGUGGAUUAAUACCUCAUAGUCUCUUUUUCCUUCCUGGGGAAUAGAGUAAAACGAGAGUGGUCAAAGAUGGGCAUGCGUCCUAUUAGGCAGUUGGCGGGGUAACGGCCCACCAAACCGAUGAUAGGUAGGGGUUCUGAGAGGAAGGUCCCCCACACUGGUACUGAGACACGGACCAGACUCCUACGGGAGGCAGCAGUGAGGAAUAUUGGUCAAUGGUCGAGAGACUGAACCAGCCAAGUCGCGUGAGGGAUGACUGCCCUAUGGGUUGUAAACCUCUUUUCUACUGGGAGAAUAAGCCUUAUGUAUAAGGUGAUGACAGUACAGUAGGAAUAAGCAUCGGCUAACUCCGUGCCAGCAGCCGCGGUAAUACGGAGGAUGCGAGCGUUAUCCGGAUUUAUUGGGUUUAAAGGGUGCGUAGGCGGCUUUAUAAGUUAGUGGUAAAAUUUCGGAGCUUCACUCCGGUCCGCCAUUAAAACUGUAGAGCUAGAGAAUGGACGAGGUAGGCGGAAUAAGUUAAGUAGCGGUGAAAUGCAUAGAUAUAACUUAGAACUCCGAUAGCGAAGGCAGCUUACCAGACCAUAACUGACGCUGAUGCACGAGAGCGUGGGUAGCGAACAGGAUUAGAUACCCUGGUAGUCCACGCCGUAAACGAUGCUCACCGGCCCUUAGCGAUAAGACAGUUAGGGGUUAAUUGAAAAGAAUUAAGUGAGCCACCUGGGGAGUACGUCGGCAACGAUGAAACUCAAAGGAAUUGACGGGGGCCCGCACAAGCGGAGGAACAUGUGGUUUAAUUCGAUGAUACGCGAGGAACCUUACCUGGGUUUAAAUGUAUGUUGCAUAAUCUGGAAACAGUUUUUCUCUUCGGAGCUAUAUGCAAGGUGCUGCAUGGUUGUCGUCAGCUCGUGCCGUGAGGUGUCGGGUUAAGUCCCAUAACGAGCGCAACCCUUACCGUUAGUUGCUAGCAUGUAAUGAUGAGCACUCUAGCGGGACUGCCACCGUAAGGUGAGAGGAAGGGGGGGAUGACGUCAAAUCAGCACGGCCCUUACAUCCAGGGCGACACACGUGUUACAAUGGCCAUAACAGAGGGUAGCUACCGGGUGACCGGAUGCAAAUCUCGAAAAUUGGUCUGAGUUCGGAUUGGAGUCUGCAACCCGACUCCAUGAAGUUGGAUUCGCUAGUAAUCGCGCAUCAGCCAUGGCGCGGUGAAUACGUUCCCGGGCCU
RNAcentral lists this ribosomal RNA (1357 nucleotides) under uncultured bacterium. RNAcentral describes it as "bacterial SSU rRNA". It matches the Rfam family "Bacterial small subunit ribosomal RNA", at positions 28 to 1381 of the family's 1533-position model. The record is from RNAcentral.